This 488-nucleotide ribosomal RNA is filed under the name uncultured Glomus. RNAcentral describes it as "SSU rRNA". It matches the Rfam family "Eukaryotic small subunit ribosomal RNA", at positions 569 to 1063 of the family's 1831-position model. Lineage: Eukaryota; Fungi; Glomeromycota; Glomeromycetes; Glomerales; Glomeraceae. The record is from RNAcentral.
AGCAGCCGCGGUAAUUCCAGCUCCAAUAGCGUAUAUUAAAGUUGUUGCAGUUAAAAAGCUCGUAGUUGGAUUUCGGGAUCAAUAUGUUGGUCGUGCCUUGGUACGUACUGGCAUUAUUGGUUUUUACCUUCUGAAGAACCUCGAUGUCAUUAAUUUGGUGUCUUGGGGAAUCAGGACUGUUACUUUGAAAAAAUUAGAGUGUUUAAAGCAGGCUUUAGCUUGAAUACAUUAGCAUGGAAUAAUGAAAUAGGACGUUCGAACCUAUUUUGUUGGUUUCUAGGAUCAACGUAAUGAUUAAUAGGGAUAGUUGGGGGCAUUAGUAUUCAAUUGUCAGAGGUGAAAUUCUUGGAUUUAUUGAAGACUAACUACUGCGAAAGCAUUUGCCAAGGAUGUUUUCAUUAAUCUAGAACGAAAGUUAGGGAUCGAAGACGAUCAGAUACCGUCGUAGUCUUAACCAUAAACUAUGCCGACUAGGGAUCGGGAUGAUG